GAGACAAAAUUCACCUAUAUUUUGUGAUAAUAAAAAACCUAGUACCUCAAGGAAAUACCUAAACCUAAUUUUUACAAUUUCUUUUUGCAAUUUUAAACUAUACUACUUUCAUAAAACUGUUGCAGACAAAACAAUUGGUACUGAACAUUAAUAAACUAUGUCACGACAAAGCAUGGUAAAGUCAGUUUUCACUUUUCAGUUUUAAGAUUCCUAAAUUAGACAAUUUGUCACUGAAUGACAUGGAUGGAUCAGGGACAAGGAGCAGCGGACUAAACAGUAAAUUUGGUCUGACUUUAACUGCUUGUUUUUAUGUAAAAUACUGUAUGGGUCCUUCUAUUAUAACGUAAAUUCUAUUUUGCUCCCUAGACUCCUAAGAAAAAUAGCAUUAAGAAACCAAGAGAUAACAAGAGGCUAGCUAGAAGAUACCAACAAUGAAACACACAUAAACAAGUAGCAUUAAGAAACCAUAAUAGCUGCAUCAAUAGCCAAACUGCCCUGCACUUCGAGAAGUGGUUCAGUGUAGAUUCGCAAAUUGAGGCCAUUCGGAUUUAAAAUCUUUGCUAAACCUUAUGCCACCAUGUUGUCGCUUCUAUUAAUAUGCCUUAAUUGAGUUUUCCAAUUUCUUUAACACUCUCCCGUUGCAAAUUAAAGCGUCCUUGAUCACACUAGCAUUCUCAGACUCGAAACCUUGCUCCCAAGCCAACCUGAGUGCUUCAAUUGCUCCCCGAAGCUCAGCAUAAAAAGUCGAGCACCCAAUAGUUUGUUAAACCCCAACAACCAUUCGUCUUUGAUAUCCCUUUUUAGUCCACCCGACCAGUGCUUUAGACAUCCUUGCAUGGACAACGCCGUCGACAUUCACCUUUACCCAUCCCUGCUCUGGAGGACCCCAUAUAACCUUCUUUUGCAACCAGUAACAUGAACUCUGUUGCCUGCCUCGGUUGCUUGAUGUUAGAAGCCACGUACCAUCUUUGUGAUAGGAUAUUUUCAACAUUGAGGUUACAUCGUUUGAAAACUGCAGCAAAGCGUUGCUUCCGUAAAAACCAGAUGAUUGAACCGAACCAUUUCCCAUACAACACCCUCAAACUAUAGUUUCGAGGUGUCCUGCAAGUCUGAAACUAUCCAAUCCACC
Molecule: long non-coding RNA, 1129 nt
Filed under: Gossypium barbadense (sea-island cotton)
Lineage: Eukaryota; Viridiplantae; Streptophyta; Magnoliopsida; Malvales; Malvaceae
Description: long non-coding RNA (GBAR_LNC012147)
Source: RNAcentral